Molecule: ribosomal RNA, 240 nt
Filed under: uncultured bacterium
Lineage: Bacteria
Description: partial 16S ribosomal RNA
Rfam family: Bacterial small subunit ribosomal RNA
Source: RNAcentral
CCGACGGGUGAGUAACACGUAUGCAAUCCACCUGUAACAGGGGGAGUAACCCGGAGAAAUCCGGACUAAUACCCCAUAAUAUGGGCGCUCCGCAUGGAGAGUCCAUUAAAGAGAGCAAUCUUGGUUACAGACGAGCAUGCGCUCCAUUAGCCAGUUGGCGGGGUAACGGCCCACCAAGGCGACGAUGGAUAGGGGUUCUGAGAGGAAGGUCCCCCACAUUGGAACUGAGACGCGGUCCAA